This 1928-nucleotide unclassified non-coding RNA is filed under the name Hevea brasiliensis (rubber tree). Lineage: Eukaryota; Viridiplantae; Streptophyta; Magnoliopsida; Malpighiales; Euphorbiaceae. The record is from RNAcentral.
UUUUUUUUUUAAAAGGAAAAAAAUAAAAUCUAACAUUUAAUCAUUUUUGGUGACUAAGGGUUCCAUGUGUACAGGAGUAGCAUAACAACAAUCAGAUGGAAAAGCAUAAAUCUCAUGAGACUCACUCGUCUUUCAUUGCAAGUUCAUGUUUCUUCUUUUGUCCAACUUCCAAAAGCAACGUCAAUAGAGCCUCGCACACUUGAGAAGCAUCUGCUUCAGAAGGGUCGUCAUUUAAUGAGGAAUAGACCAUCCAAGCAUGGUCCAAUUUGCGUUUAGGGCGCACUACAAUGGAUCCAGGGACUUCUGCGUCACGACAUGUGACAAGCCCAUCACUCUUCUCGCCAUACCUAAUUUGCAACAGCUGAGCACAUGCAGCCAUUGCAGCACCAAGGGGAAUCACCACAGGAACUUUCGCUGGUUCACCCACCAAUGGUAACUCUGCAUGAGCAACAUGAGAUAGCGUGGCUAGAACUGCAGGGCUAGUCCCAGCUUCUGUGUGGAAUGAUACAACAGGAAGUUCUCUGGGCAAAUGAUGUUUCAUCAAGAAUUUCUUCCUCCUCUCAUAAGUCAAGUCCUCUAAAGCUUGUAGAUCACCCUUAAUCACUUUACAGAUUAUAAUCUCCAUAAGCUUGCGCACAUUAACAUAAUCACCAAGUUGUCCUUCACGUAAAAUAUCUGAAGCUAUUGGGCUACCACCAUAAGGACUUUGUGCUAAUGCCAACCCAGCUACCUUAUCUUUUAAAUCAGACCAAUACAAUGAUAAAGCAGCAGCGGCAUCUAUUCCUCCUUUACUAUGUCCAAGAAGCAUGACACGUUUAUUUGAACCCCAAUAGAUUUCCUCAAUGUACUCUUUUAUCUCUCUGGCAUUUUUCUCAACUGAAGCCUCACUGUGAAUCUUGGCAAUGUGACAGGCUAGUCCCAUCUUAGAGAAUCUCACUUUUGUAUUAACAAAAUAAAGUGGUCCAUGAUUACUGAAAAGACCUGGAACCAACAAGUAAACCACUGAAUUUGACAACUUGUGCAAACCAUGCCUGAUGUUAUCAAGAAUUUCCAUGAACCUUUCAGUGCCAUCUUCAACUGCAGGCAUCCAUAAAGCACGUUGCAUCCAUCCUAUAUCAUCAGCAGAUCCACGAACAGUCCUCCGUGCUCUCUCAAUAAGCCCUUGAAAAAUAGAAAUUCCAUUUUGGCCACUAUGGUUUGAUGAUACAAUUGCACUCGUAUGUUGGGAUGGGCUUUCCAAAGAGGUUCUUGUUAUUCCAUCACGGAUAGGAGGGGGAGCAGUCGCAGAUGUAGAUGUAGAUGGUUCUGAAAACGUUGAAUGGCUUUGACUUGAAGAUGGGAAAUCAUCAUCCAGAUAUUCCUCAGUUUUUCCAGAAGAAUAUGUCACCAAUUCCUGUGCAUGAGUAAUUGAAUUCCCAGAAUCUCUAGAAGAAUAUUCCAAAGAAUAAUCAGAGAAACAGCGAGUUAGCAAUGAAGUUGUUUGAGCAAGGUAAGAUGCAGCUUCACUGAGAACUGGUACUCCAGUAAAUAGUUGAGGAAUGAACAUAUCAUUUCCCAGAUCGUCAUUCUGUGCCAUCAAUGAGGUGUAGGUGUUUGAUUCUCUACUUGUUCUAGGACUUCCGGCUUCCCCCAUCGAGUUCAGGAGAAUGGGCAAAUUUAGAAUUGUGAAUCAGAUAAUUCGCAAUUUGAUUCACAAUUGAAUUGAAGUUCGAAUUAGGGUUUCAAAAUAUUCAUUUCUUCAGAAAUCAGAGACGGAGAGAAUCAGAAAUCUUGAGGGCUAAGGAUUAGCGGUGAAAUAGAAUAGAAGACAACGUCGUUUUCAAUGGAUUUGAGCUGCAAAACACAGACCGGGCCUCCGCAGCGAAAUUUAUAAAUUACAUCAUCUUCAUGUGAACUUAAUUUUUUAAAUGCAAAAUCUAGAGAUUCUC